AACGAACGCUGGCGGCAGGCCUAACACAUGCAAGUCGAACGCCCUGGCGACAGGGAGUGGCAGACGGGUGAGUAACGCGUGGGAACGUGCCUUUCGGUUCGGAAUAACCCAGGGAAACUUGGACUAAUACCGGAUACGUGCGAGAGCAGAAAGAUUUAUCGCCGAAAGAUCGGCCCGCGUCCGAUUAGCUAGUUGGUGAGGUAAAGGCUCACCAAGGCGACGAUCGGUAGCUGGUCUGAGAGGAUGAUCAGCCACACUGGGACUGAGACACGGCCCAGACUCCUACGGGAGGCAGCAGUGGGGAAGUAUUGGACAAUGGGCGCAAGCCUGAUCCAGCCAUGCCGCGUGAGUGAUGAAGGCCC
RNAcentral lists this ribosomal RNA (362 nucleotides) under uncultured bacterium. Its description in RNAcentral is "bacterial SSU rRNA". It matches the Rfam family "Bacterial small subunit ribosomal RNA", at positions 29 to 417 of the family's 1533-position model. The record is from RNAcentral.